Molecule: ribosomal RNA, 429 nt
Filed under: Pseudomonadota bacterium
Lineage: Bacteria; Pseudomonadati; Pseudomonadota
Description: Proteobacteria bacterium partial 16S ribosomal RNA
Rfam family: Bacterial small subunit ribosomal RNA
Source: RNAcentral
UGGGGAAUAUUGGACAAUGGGCGAAAGCCUGAUCCAGCCAUGCCGCGUGUGUGAAGAAGGUCUUCGGAUUGUAAAGCACUUUAAGUUGGGAGGAAGGGCAGUAAGCGAAUACCUUGCUGUUUUGACGUUACCGACAGAAUAAGCACCGGCUAACUCUGUGCCAGCAGCCGCGGUAAUACAGAGGGUGCAAGCGUUCAUCUGAAUUACUGGGCGUAAAGCGCGCGUAGGUGGUUCGUUAAGUUGAAUGUGAAAGCCCCGGGCUCAACCUGGGAACUGCAUCCAAAACUGGCGAGCUAGAGUAGGGCAGAGGGUGGUGGAAUUUCCUGUGUAGCGGUGAAAUACGUAGAUAUAGGAAGGAACACCAGUGGCGAAGGCGACCACCUGGGCUCAUACUGACACUGAGGUGCGAAAGCGUGGGGAGCAAACAGG